GAAGGACAUCUGAGGCAGCUGAAGAGGACAUGUUAGAGGGUCCAUGUCAAAACCUCGCAGACUUGGAGGACCUCUGCAAAAAGAUUGCAGACCGCUCUUUUAAAAAGAAAAUGAUUCGGCACCUGAGCCUUCUUGGAGGCAGCAAUGUCGGGGAUGGGGUUCGAAGGAUGCUGA
Gadus morhua (Atlantic cod) is the source of this 174-nucleotide long non-coding RNA. RefSeq lists it as uncharacterized. The transcript has 2 exons. NCBI's taxonomy places the organism in Eukaryota, Metazoa, Chordata, Actinopteri, Gadiformes, Gadidae. The record is from RefSeq and is a predicted model, not a curated record.